RNAcentral lists this ribosomal RNA (510 nucleotides) under uncultured bacterium. RNAcentral describes it as "partial 16S ribosomal RNA". It matches the Rfam family "Bacterial small subunit ribosomal RNA", at positions 28 to 507 of the family's 1533-position model. The record is from RNAcentral.
GACGAACGCUGGCGGCGUGCUUAACACAUGCAAGUCGAACGAAGAGCGGUGGAUGCUUGCUUCUAUCAAUCUUAGUGGCGAACGGGUGAGUAACGCGUAAUCAACCUGCCCUUCAGAGGGGGACAACAGUUGGAAACGACUGCUAAUACCGCAUACGAUCUAAUCUCGGCAUCGAGGAUAGAUGAAAGGUGGCCUCUACAUGUAAGCUCUCACUGAAGGAGGGGAUUGCGUCUGAUUAGCUAGUUGGAGGGGUAACGGCCCACCAAGGCGAUGAUCAGUAGCCGGUCUGAGAGGAUGAACGGCCACAUUGGGACUGAGACACGGCCCAGACUCCUACGGGAGGCAGCAGUGGGGAAUCUUCCGCAAUGGACGAAAGUCUGACGGAGCAACGCCGCGUGAGCGAUGACGGCCUUCGGGUUGUAAAGCUCUGUUAAUCGGGACGAAAGGCCUUCUUGCGAAUAGUGAGAAGGAUUGACGGUACCGGAAUAGAAAGCCACGGCUAACUACGUG